This 468-nucleotide ribosomal RNA is filed under the name uncultured bacterium. RNAcentral's name for it is "partial 16S ribosomal RNA". It matches the Rfam family "Bacterial small subunit ribosomal RNA", at positions 28 to 507 of the family's 1533-position model. The record is from RNAcentral.
GACGAACGCUGGCGGCGUGCUUAACACAUGCAAGUCGAACGGAAAGGCCCUGCUUUUGUGGGGUGCUCGAGUGGCGAACGGGUGAGUAACACGUGAGUAACCUGCCCUUGACUUUGGGAUAACUUCAGGAAACUGGGGCUAAUACCGGAUAGGAGCUCCUGCUGCAUGGUGGGGGUUGGAAAGUUUCGGCGGUUGGGGAUGGACUCGCGGCUUAUCAGCUUGUUGGUGGGGUAGUGGCUUACCAAGGCUUUGACGGGUAGCCGGCCUGAGAGGGUGACCGGCCACAGUGGGACUGAGAAGCGGGCCAGACUCCUACGGGAGGCAGCGGUGGGGGAUAUUGCAAAAUGGGCGGAAGCCUGAUGCAGGAACGCCGCGUGCGGGAUGACGGCCUUCGGGUUGUAAAACGCGUUCGCCUGUGACGAAGCGUGCGUGACGGUAAUGGGUAAAGAAGCACCGGCUAACUACGUG